UUCCAUUGUUAAUACAACACG
RNAcentral lists this non-coding RNA (21 nucleotides) under Caenorhabditis elegans. Lineage: Eukaryota; Metazoa; Nematoda; Chromadorea; Rhabditida; Rhabditidae. The record is from RNAcentral.